GUCUACAGCCAUGCUACCCUGAACAAGCCUGAUCCCGUCUGAUCUUGGAGGCUAAGCAGGGUCGGACCUGGUUAGUACUUGGAUGGGAGACCACCUAGGAAGACCAGGUGCUGUCGGUG
RNAcentral lists this ribosomal RNA (119 nucleotides) under Pteropus alecto (black flying fox). Lineage: Eukaryota; Metazoa; Chordata; Mammalia; Chiroptera; Pteropodidae. The record is from RNAcentral.